Molecule: ribosomal RNA, 460 nt
Filed under: uncultured bacterium
Lineage: Bacteria
Description: partial 16S ribosomal RNA
Rfam family: Bacterial small subunit ribosomal RNA
Source: RNAcentral
CCUACGGGGGACAGCAGUGAGGAAUAUUGGUCAAUGGGCGGGAGCCUGAACCAGCCAAGCCGCGUGAAGGAAGAAGGCGCCAGGCGUCGUAAACUUCUUUUGUCGGGGAACAAAGGGCGCCACGCGUGGCGUUGUGAGUGUACCCGAAGAAAAAGCAUCGGCUAACUCCGUGCCAGCAGCCGCGGUAAUACGGAGGGGGCAAGCGUUAUCCGGAUUUAUUGGGUGUAAAGGGGGCGCAGACGGGAGCGCAAGCCAGUGGUGAAAGCCCGCGGCGCAACCGCGGGACUGCACUUGAAACUGGGCGGCUUGAGUGCAGGAGGGGUAGGCGGAAUUCGUGGUGUAGCGGUGAAAUGCGUAGAUAUCAGGAGGAACACCGGUGGCGAAGGCGGCCUGCUGGACUGCGACUGACGUUGAGGCCCGAAAGCGUGGGGAGCAAACAGGAUUAGAUACCCUUGUAGUC